GGUCAAGCGAACAAGUGCAUGUGGUGGAUGCCUUGGCGAUCACAGGCGAUGAAGGACGCGGUAGCCUGCGAAAAGCCCCGGGGAGCUGGCAAACAAGCUUUGAUCCGGGGAUGUCCGAAUGGGGAAACCCACUCCUUAUGGAGUAUCCAUAGCUGAAUACAUAGGCUAUGUGAAGCGAACGCGGUGAACUGAAACAUCUAAGUAACCGCAGGAAAAGAAAUCAACCGAGAUUCCCAAAGUAGUGGCGAGCGAAAUGGGAUGAGCCUUGUACUCUUUAUUUGUAUUGUUAGCCGAACGCUCUGGAAAGUGCGGCCAUAGCAGGUGAUAGCCCUGUAGGCGAAAACAGUAUGAAAGAACUAGGUGUACGACAAGUAGGGCGGGACACGUGAAAUCCUGUCUGAAGAUGGGGGGACCAUCCUCCAAGGCUAAAUACUCGUGAUCGACCGAUAGUGAACCAGUACCGUGAGGGAAAGGCGAAAAGAACCCCGGGAGGGGAGUGAAAUAGAUCCUGAAACCGCAUGCAUACAAACAGUCGGAGCCUCGUAAGGGGUGACGGCGUACCUUUUGUAUAAUGGGUCAGCGACUUACGUUCAGUAGCAAGCUUAACCGUAUAGGGCAGGCGUAGCGAAAGCGAGUCCGAAUAGGGCGUUCAGUUGCUGGGCGUAGACCCGAAACCAGGUGAUCUAUCCAUGGCCAGGAUGAAGGUGCGGUAACACGUACUGGAGGUCCGAACCCACUAACGUUGAAAAGUUAGGGGAUGAGCUGUGGAUAGGGGUGAAAGGCUAAACAAACCUGGAAAUAGCUGGUUCUCUCCGAAAACUAUUUAGGUAGUGCCUCGUGUCUCACCUUCGGGGGUAGAGCACUGUCAUGGUUGGGGGGUCUAUUGCAGAUUACCCCGCCAUAGCAAACUCCGAAUACCGAAGAGUGCAAUCACGGGAGACAGACAUCGGGUGCUAACGUCCGGUGUCAAGAGGGAAACAACCCAGACCGCCAGCUAAGGUCCCCAAAUAUGGCUAAGUGGGAAACGAAGUGGGAAGGCUAAAACAGUCAGGAGGUUGGCUUAGAAGCAGCCACCCUUUAAAGAAAGCGUAAUAGCUCACUGAUCGAGUCGUCCUGCGCGGAAGAUGUAACGGGGCUAAGCCAUAUACCGAAGCUGCGGAUGCGUGCUUGCACGCAUGGUAGGAGAGCGUUCCGUAAGCCUGCGAAGGUGCCUUGUAAAGGGUGCUGGAGGUAUCGGAAGUGCGAAUGCUGACAUGAGUAGCGAUAAAGGGGGUGAAAGGCCCCCUCGCCGUAAGCCCAAGGUUUCCUACGCAACGUUCAUCGGCGUAGGGUGAGUCGGCCCCUAAGGCGAGGCAGAAAUGCGUAGCUGAUGGGAAGCAGGUCAAUAUUCCUGCACCAUUGUUAGAUGCGAUGGGGGGACGGAUCGCGGAAGGUUGUCCGGGUGUUGGACGUCCCGGUCGCUGCAUUGGAGAAGGCGCUUAGGCAAAUCCGGGCGCAGGAUUCAAGGGUGUGGCGCGAGCGACUUCGGUCGCGAAGCAAUUGGAAGUGGUUCCAAGAAAAGCCUCUAAGCUUCAGUCUAACGAUGACCGUACCGCAAACCGACACAGGUGGGCGAGAUGAGUAUUCUAAGGCGCUUGAGAGAACUCGGGAGAAGGAACUCGGCAAAUUGGUACCGUAACUUCGGGAUAAGGUACGCCCUUGUAGCUUGAC
This 1710-nucleotide ribosomal RNA is filed under the name Burkholderia multivorans. RNAcentral describes it as "partial 23S ribosomal RNA". It matches the Rfam family "Bacterial large subunit ribosomal RNA", at positions 1 to 1765 of the family's 2925-position model. Lineage: Bacteria; Pseudomonadati; Pseudomonadota; Betaproteobacteria; Burkholderiales; Burkholderiaceae. The record is from RNAcentral.